GAUGAAGAACGCAGCGAAAUGCGAUACGUAAUGUGAAUUGCAGAAUUCAGUGAAUCAUCGAGUCUUUGAACGCACAUUGCGCCCCCUGGUAUUCCGGGGGGCAUGCCUGUCCGAGCGUCAUUGCUGCCCUCAAGCACGGCUUGUGUGUUGGGCCUCCGUCCUCCGAUCCCGGGGGACGGGCCCGAAAGGCAGCGGCGGCACCGCGUCCGGUCCUCGAGCGUAUGGGGCUUUGUCACCCGCUCUGUAGGCCCGGCCGGCGCUUGCCGAUCAACCCAAAUUUUUUAUCCAGGUUGACCUCGGAUCAGGUAGGGAUACCCGCUGAACUUAAGCAUUUCAAUAAGCGGAGGA
Molecule: unclassified non-coding RNA, 348 nt
Filed under: soil metagenome
Description: partial contains 5.8S ribosomal RNA, internal transcribed spacer 2, and large subunit ribosomal RNA
Rfam family: 5.8S ribosomal RNA (bases 1-120)
Source: RNAcentral